GCCGGAGUGGCGGAAUGGCAGACGCGACGGAUUCAAAAUCCGUUGGGCUUUACGGCCCGUGUGGGUUCGAGUCCCACCUCCGGUAC
This 86-nucleotide transfer RNA is filed under the name Stratiformator vulcanicus. RNAcentral's name for it is "Planctomycetes bacterium Pan189 tRNA-Leu". It matches the Rfam family "tRNA". Rfam says of the family: Transfer RNA (tRNA) molecules are approximately 80 nucleotides in length. Their secondary structure includes four short double-helical elements and three loops (D, anti-codon, and T loops). Further hydrogen bonds mediate the characteristic L-shaped molecular structure. tRNAs have two regions of fundamental functional importance: the anti-codon, which is responsible for specific mRNA codon recognition, and the 3' end, to which the tRNAs corresponding amino acid is attached (by aminoacyl-tRNA synthetases). tRNAs cope with the degeneracy of the genetic code in two manners: having more than one tRNA (with a specific anti-codon) for a particular amino acid; and 'wobble' base-pairing, i.e. permitting non-standard base-pairing at the 3rd anti-codon position. Lineage: Bacteria; Pseudomonadati; Planctomycetota; Planctomycetia; Planctomycetales; Planctomycetaceae. The record is from RNAcentral.